This 414-nucleotide ribosomal RNA is filed under the name uncultured bacterium. RNAcentral's name for it is "bacterial SSU rRNA". It matches the Rfam family "Bacterial small subunit ribosomal RNA", at positions 29 to 429 of the family's 1533-position model. The record is from RNAcentral.
GCGAACGCUGGCGGCGUGCCUAACACAUGCAAGUCGCACGUGAAAGGGGGGUAACCCCCGAGUAAAGUGGCGCACGGGUGAGUAACACGUAGGUAAUCUCCCUCAAAGCCUGGAAUAACCUGCCGAAAGGCGGGCUAAUACUGGAUAGAGCGACGAGAGACUUCAAGUCUCUUUCGGGAAAGGGUGCCCUUAAAAGCACUCACUUUGAGAUGAGCCUGCGUCCCAUUAGCUAGUUGGUGAGGUAACGGCUCACCAAGGCGAUGAUGGGUAGCUGGUCUGAGAGGAUGAUCAGCCACACUGGAACUGAAACACGGUCCAGACUCCUACGGGAGGCAGCAGUGGGGAAUCUUGCGCAAUGGGCGAAAGCCUGACGCAGCCACGCCGCGUGAGUGAAGAAGGCCUUCGGGUUGUAAA